CCAGACUCCUACGGGAGGCAGCAGUGAGGAAUAUUGGUCAAUGGGCUUACGCCUGAACCAGCCAAGUCGCGUGAGGGAAGACUGCCCUAUGGGUUGUAAACCUCUUUUGUCAGGGAGCAACGCCGGCUACGUGUAGCCGGACUGAGAGUACCUGAAGAAAAAGCAUCGGCUAACUCCGUGCCAGCAGCCGCGGUAAUACGGAGGAUGCGAGCGUUAUCCGGAUUUAUUGGGUUUAAAGGGUGCGUAGGCGGGACCUUAAGUCAGCGGUAAAAUUGCGGUGCUCAACGCCGUAGAGCCGUUGAAACUGGGGUUCUUGAGUGAGCGAGAAGUAUGCGGAAUGCGUGGUGUAGCGGUGAAAUGCAUAGAUAUCACGCAGAACUCCGAUUGCGAAGGCAGCGUACCGGCGCCCAACUGACGCUGAAGCACGAAAGCGUGGGUAUCGAACAGGAUUAGAUACCCCUGUAA
This 465-nucleotide ribosomal RNA is filed under the name uncultured bacterium. RNAcentral's name for it is "bacterial SSU rRNA". It matches the Rfam family "Bacterial small subunit ribosomal RNA", at positions 331 to 793 of the family's 1533-position model. The record is from RNAcentral.